GAGAAGUUUUGAAGGAAGAUAUAUCCUAAGGCUAAUCUAAGUAUAGCUUAUAAUUGACUAAAUCUUGUAAAGCAACCUCUAAGACUUGUUUCUUCUUCUCCACGACCUUUGAGGCUUUUACCGUUGUAAGGGAGACAUCAGAACACUUGGAAAACUGUUCUUCAACAGCUGAAACUUUGGAUUCCAUCUCUACAGCUUCUUGCUUGGCAGCAUCUCGG
RNAcentral lists this long non-coding RNA (218 nucleotides) under Capsicum annuum. Its description in RNAcentral is "long non-coding RNA (CANN_LNC006627)". Lineage: Eukaryota; Viridiplantae; Streptophyta; Magnoliopsida; Solanales; Solanaceae. The record is from RNAcentral.